GCGGAGGAAAAGAAACCAACAGGGAUUGCCUCAGUAACGGCGAGUGAAGCGGCAACAGCUCAAAUUUGAAAUCUGGCUCUUUCAGGGUCCGAGUUGUAAUUUGUAGAGGGUGCUUUGGUGUUGGCCGUGGUCUAAGUUCCUUGGAACAGGACGUCACAGAGGGUGAGAAUCCCGUACGUGGCCGCCGGUCUUCACCGUGUAAAGCCCCUUCGACGAGUCGAGUUGUUUGGGAAUGCAGCUCUAAAUGGGAGAUAAAUUUCUUCUAAAGCUAAAUAUUGGCCAGAGACCGAUAGCGCACAAGUAGAGUGAUCGAAAGAUGAAAAGCACUUUGGAAAGAGAGUCAAAAAGCACGUGAAAUUGUUGAAAGGGAAGCGCUUGCAGCCAGACGUGCCCGCAGUUGCUCACCUGGGCUCUCGCCCGGGGCAUUCUUCUGCGGGCAGGCCAGCAUCAGUUCGGGCGGUUGGAUAAAGGCCUCUAUCACGUAUCUUCCUUCGGGAUGACCUUAUAGGGGAGGCGCAACACGGCCAGCCUGAACUGAGGACCGCGCAUCAGCUAGGAUGCUGGCGUAAUGGCUGUAAGCGGCCCGUCUUGAAACACGGACCAAGGAGUCUAACAUCUAUGCGAGUGUUUGGGUGUCAAGCCCGGGCGCGCAAUGAAAGUGAACGGAGGUGGGAACCUUUCGGGGUGCACCAUCGACCGAUCCUGAAGUCUUCGGAUGGAUUUGAGUAAGAGCAUAGCUGUUGGGACCCGAAAGAUGGUGAACUAUGCCUGAAUAGGGUGAAGCCAGGGGAAACCCUGGUGGAGGCUCGCAGCGGUUCUGACGUGCAAAUCGAUCGUCAAAUUUGGGCA
This 849-nucleotide small RNA is filed under the name Arthopyrenia sp. 1 NV-2015. Its description in RNAcentral is "eukaryotic LSU rRNA". It matches the Rfam family "Eukaryotic large subunit ribosomal RNA", at positions 50 to 917 of the family's 3401-position model. Lineage: Eukaryota; Fungi; Ascomycota; Dothideomycetes; Pleosporales; Arthopyreniaceae. The record is from RNAcentral.